GCCAGAAUCGUCGUCCCACUUUACGUGUAGAAACACAGUCUUGCAGCAUCUCGAGUUUGACCAACAUGGCGACCACAGCCGGAUCUCAUCUGAAACAAAUGGAGGGAGAGGGUGGACAGGAUUCUCCCCGUACCCACAAGUGCAGCUAUUGUGAGAAGGAGUUUCCCUUCAAAAGUAGCCUAAAUCAACACCUGCGAACUCACACAGGUGAGAGACCAUACCAGCGUGAUGAUUGCGGGAAAUGGUUUAUUAAGCUAUGUAAUCUGAAAGACCACAUGAGAACUCACACCGGUGAGAGACCGUACGAGUGUGAAUAUUGCAACAAGUGCUUCAGUCAGUCAUCCCAUCU
Molecule: long non-coding RNA, 349 nt
Organism: Branchiostoma floridae (Florida lancelet)
Lineage: Eukaryota; Metazoa; Chordata; Leptocardii; Amphioxiformes; Branchiostomatidae
Exons: 2
Source: RefSeq, a predicted model, not a curated record